GAAAGGACCACAAGAACUGCUAACUCCUUAGACCUGACACUAAACUAUCAGACCUUUC
This 58-nucleotide transfer RNA is filed under the name Brookesia tuberculata (Mount d'Ambre leaf chameleon). RNAcentral describes it as "tRNA-Ser". Lineage: Eukaryota; Metazoa; Chordata; Lepidosauria; Squamata; Chamaeleonidae. The record is from RNAcentral.